GAUGAACGCUGGCGGCGUGCCUAAUACAUGCAAGUCGAGCGGACGGACGAGACGCUUGCGUCUCUGAUGUUAGCGGCGGACGGGUGAGUAACACGUGGAUAACCUACCUAUAAGACUGGGAUAACUUCGGGACACCGGAGCUAAUACCGGAUGAUAUUUUGAACCGCAUGGUUCAAAAGUGAAAGACGGUCUUGCUGUCACUUAUAGAUGGAUCCGCGCUGCAUUAGCUAGUUGGUAAGGUAACGGCUUACCACGGCGACGAUGCAUAGCCGACCUGAGAGGGUGAUCGGCCACACGGGAACUUGGACGCGCUCCAGACUCCUACGGUAGGCAGCAGUAGGGAAUCUUCCGCAAAGGGCGAGAGCCUGACGGAGCAACGCCGCGUGAGUGAUGAAGGUCUUCGGAUCGUAAAACUCUCUUAUUAGUGAAGAACAUAUGUGUAAGUAACUGUGCACAUCUUGACGGUACCUAAUCAGAAAGCCACGGCUAACUACGUG
Molecule: ribosomal RNA, 497 nt
Filed under: uncultured bacterium
Lineage: Bacteria
Description: partial 16S ribosomal RNA
Rfam family: Bacterial small subunit ribosomal RNA
Source: RNAcentral